GUCCCGGCCCUAAACGGUGCGCAUUUGCUGUGGGCGGAAUCGACCCCGCCCGUGGCGGAGCUAACGCGUUAAAUGCGCCGCCUGGGGAGUACGGCCGCAAGGUUAAAACUCAAAGAAAUUGACGGGGGCCUGCACAAGCGGUGUAGUAUGUGGCUUAAUUCGAUGCAACGCGAAGAACCUUACCUGGCCUUGACAUGCAGAUGGUAGAAGCCUGAAAGGGUGACGACCCCGCAAGGGGAGUUUGCACAGGUGCUGCAUGGCUGUCGU
Molecule: ribosomal RNA, 267 nt
Filed under: uncultured bacterium
Lineage: Bacteria
Description: partial 16S ribosomal RNA
Rfam family: Bacterial small subunit ribosomal RNA
Source: RNAcentral